This is a long non-coding RNA of Mobula hypostoma (lesser devil ray), 612 nucleotides long. RefSeq lists it as uncharacterized. The record is from RefSeq and is a predicted model, not a curated record. The transcript is spliced from 3 exons. NCBI's taxonomy places the organism in Eukaryota, Metazoa, Chordata, Chondrichthyes, Myliobatiformes, Myliobatidae.
CAAGGUGCUGCACAUGAGGCUGCUAAACAAGACCCUGUAGGAAAACUUCGGAGUUGCUUGGAAUCAACUGCAUUUGGUGAGUCUGGAGUUAUGUCAAAGGAUGGAAAGGCUGCUCCAGAAUCAGAAACACAAGAGAUGCUGGAAAUCCAGAGCAAUGCACACAAAAUGCUGGAGGAAGUCAACAGGCCAGCUGCCCAGAAGAGGAGAUGCCUGAAACAGUGGGGCAUGGCAUUCAUCCUGGGGCAGGGGAUGGCCCUUCCCAUCAGUGCUGCCCUCCAGUGAUCGCUUGGUGGAAGACAAACCGGUUUGCGUUCAUCAGCGGCUGCUCUAGUGCAUGAUGAUUGGACUGCUGCACGCUUGUUCUUGCUGACAACAUCCCAUGCACUAUCAAUCUACAGGAAAUGACACUCCGAGACCUGGGCUAUAUUUUUUUGUCUCAUUUAUGUUUACUGCUACCAUAGUUAUAUGUGCUAUAUAUGCCUUGUGCAGUAUAUGACUGUUUGUUCAGCGUUCAUGAGGAAUGCUGCUUCAUUUGGCUGUAUUCAGGGGUAGUCAUGUAUGGUUGAAUGACAAUUAAACUUGACUCCCAUGCAAGAUUACUUGGCCUGAAGU